ACUCGACAUCGACAAUCCUAGUUCACUACUCCACAAGAGGUAAAAUUCCAAUUUUCUUCUCUCUGCUAGUAGGUAACUAUGUACUAAAUAUUAAAGCUGUGUUUGGAGAAUGUGCCUAUAUGAAGUAGAAUUUAACUGAUGAUUUAUAUUCAAACAAUAUUGCAGUCCUUUGUUUGCGCCCAAAUAUGAUGUUAAAUUUUUCUUUUAGAAAUUGACAUGUUAGUCUUUAUCUACACCCAUUAUGCUAUUUGUUGAACGACUUUAUUGUGUGUUUGCGAAGGAUGUAGAAUAUUGAAUUCCCCUGUUUAAGUUGGCAAAAGGAUGACUUAAAAUUUUCAUUUGUUUCAAAAUAGGUAACUUAGGAAUAAGUUUUCAAAUGUUGCCAGAGAUAAUUUAUAACUAGCUAGGGAAGAUACUUGUGAUCUCGUGAGUAUUAUGACUUUGUGCCCUUUCCUAUGCUUCUGUUUAUUAAAUAUUUUCAAUGCUAACAGAUCUCAGCUUACUAGAAUUUCUUUUUUUCUAAAAUGAAGUUCUCACAUCGUAAGACUAUACCUUGGGGUGUUAACUAGCUUGUGGUUUAGUGUAAUGAAGCAUGUACUCUAAUAGGCUGUUUGAGAACCCAGUUAGUCACUUUCUUCUUAAAGGCGAUUAACUAGACACACGCUAACGAAUUUAAAAGGAGACGUGAAAAGCGCAUGCCAAAUUAUUCUGUCCAUGUGUGUUCUCUGCUGGAUCACUUUGUUAGAUCGCGAUUUCCUCAGCUGUUUCAAAACGUUAACGUAAAAAGAAUUGUUUAGAUUUUGUAGGAAGCAUUUCAUCGAUGUAGGGCGGCUAUGUUUAUUUUAGUCUCUUGGUUAAUUAACUGGGAAUAUGAGUAUUUUAAACGGGU
RNAcentral lists this long non-coding RNA (889 nucleotides) under Capsicum annuum. RNAcentral's name for it is "long non-coding RNA (CANN_LNC019875)". Lineage: Eukaryota; Viridiplantae; Streptophyta; Magnoliopsida; Solanales; Solanaceae. The record is from RNAcentral.